GGAUGGGAACGUGAUCUGGCUGCGAUAUCUGUCACACCAUUGAUUGCCAGGGGUCAUUUGGCUGAUCUGGCUGGCUAGGCGAGUGUCCCCUUCCUUCCUCACCGCUCAGUUUGCGUCCCUCCCGAAGCUGCACGCUCGGUGGAAGAGGACAACCAUCCUACCGGAGUGUACCAUUCUUCAGUCAAGGGAUUUUGAGAA
Non-coding RNA from Podarcis lilfordi (Lilford's wall lizard), 198 nucleotides. The record is from the annotation of a GenBank genome assembly. NCBI's taxonomy places the organism in Eukaryota, Metazoa, Chordata, Lepidosauria, Squamata, Lacertidae.